RNAcentral lists this ribosomal RNA (692 nucleotides) under uncultured bacterium. RNAcentral's name for it is "bacterial SSU rRNA". It matches the Rfam family "Bacterial small subunit ribosomal RNA", at positions 731 to 1424 of the family's 1533-position model. The record is from RNAcentral.
GGGAUAAUACUGACGUUCAUGCUCGAAAGCGUGGGUAGCAAACAGGAUUAGAUACCCUGGUAGUCCACGCCNUAAACGAUGUCAAUUAGCUGUUGGGGCACUUGAUGCCUUAGUAGCGAAGCUAACGCGUGAAAUUGNCCGCCUGGGGAGUACGGUCGCAAGAUUAAAACUCAAAGGAAUUGACGGGGACCCGCACAAGCGGUGGAUGAUGUGGAUUAAUUCGAUGCAACGCGAAGAACCUUACCUGGUCUUGACAUGUACGGAAUCUUCCAGAGACGGAAGAGUGCCUUCGGGAGCCGUAACACAGGUGCUGCAUGGCUGUCGUCAGCUCGUGUCGUGAGAUGUUGGGUUAAGUCCCGCAACGAGCGCAACCCUUGUCAUUAGUUGCCACCAUUCAGUUGGGCACUCUAAUGAGACUGCCGGUGACAAACCGGAGGAAGGUGGGGAUGACGUCAAGUCCUCAUGGCCCUUAUGACCAGGGCUUCACACGUCAUACAAUGGUCGGUACAGAGGGUAGCCAAGCCGCGAGGUGGAGCCAAUCUCAGAAAACCGAUCGUAGUCCGGAUUGCACUCUGCAACUCGAGUGCAUGAAGUCGGAAUCGCUAGUAAUCGCAGGUCAGCAUACUGCGGUGAAUACGUUCCCGGGUCUUGUACACACCGCCCGUCACACCAUGGGAGUGGGGGAUACCAGA